RNAcentral lists this transfer RNA (109 nucleotides) under Candidatus Woesearchaeota archaeon. RNAcentral describes it as "tRNA-Arg". It matches the Rfam family "tRNA". From Rfam's summary of the family: Transfer RNA (tRNA) molecules are approximately 80 nucleotides in length. Their secondary structure includes four short double-helical elements and three loops (D, anti-codon, and T loops). Lineage: Archaea; Nanobdellati; Candidatus Woesearchaeota. The record is from RNAcentral.
GGGAGUGUAGCGCAGCUUGGAUAGCGCGGCAGCCUUCUAUUCAGUAAAAAAUAUUUUAAAAAACUGAAAAGUAAGCUGUAGGUCCGGGGUUCAAAUCCUCGCACUCCCG